Molecule: transfer RNA, 74 nt
Filed under: Candidatus Liptonbacteria bacterium
Lineage: Bacteria; Candidatus Liptoniibacteriota
Description: tRNA-Gly
Rfam family: tRNA
About the family: Transfer RNA (tRNA) molecules are approximately 80 nucleotides in length. Their secondary structure includes four short double-helical elements and three loops (D, anti-codon, and T loops).
Source: RNAcentral
GCGGGUGUAGCACAAUGGUAGUGCACUUGGUUGCCAAUCAAGGUACGUGGGUUCGAUUCCCAUCACCCGCUCCA